UACGAAGGGGGCUAGCGUUGUUCGGAUUUACUGGGUGUAAAGAGCGCGUAGGCGGUUUUGUAAGUUAGACGUGAAAGCCCUGGGCUUAACCUGGGAAAUGCGUUUAAAACUACAAGGCUAGAGUAUGGGAGAGGAUAGUGGAAUUCCGAGUGUAGAGGUGAAAUUCGUAGAUAUUCGGAGGAACACCAGAAGCGAAGGCGACUAUCUGGACCAUUACUGACGCUGAGGUGCGAAAGCGUGGGGAUCAAACAGG
Molecule: ribosomal RNA, 253 nt
Filed under: uncultured bacterium
Lineage: Bacteria
Description: partial 16S ribosomal RNA
Rfam family: Bacterial small subunit ribosomal RNA
Source: RNAcentral